Long non-coding RNA from Numida meleagris (helmeted guineafowl), 16794 nucleotides. RefSeq lists it as uncharacterized. NCBI's taxonomy places the organism in Eukaryota, Metazoa, Chordata, Aves, Galliformes, Numididae. The record is from RefSeq and is a predicted model, not a curated record. The transcript has 2 exons.
UUCAAGUAAAGUAGGUGAACCAAUAGCAAGCAUAUGAGGAAGGACCUUCAGCGUUACAGCCCGAGUACUCAGUAACAUGCCUACUACACUAUGCAAAGAUGAUGAUGGGUUUGGGGAAAAUACAUAAGUGUAACUGCUUUAUUAUGCCUGUGCAUCCUACAGGUUUACAUAAUAAUGCAUUUAAAACACAUUAGACUUAAGUUGUCUUUUUAGAGCUCCUGUUGUUUUUCUUCUCGCUUGAGAUGUAAAUACAAAGCAAACCUCAUUUAUUGAAUCUGUUAAUCUCUGGAUUAAUGGGAAUUGUUAAACUGAUUUGCAGAGCUUGUUUUUGAGAGUUAUUAAGUUCCACCCCUUCCCCAUACUCAACUGAAUAGUGAUUUUAGGAUUACUGCAUAGUCUAAAUACUUUUUAAGUACAGCAUAGAAACAAUCAUUAUGGAAACUUCAGAGCAGUGUUAUAAGUGUACACAGUUUAUGAAGUAUUUUUAUUUUCUCCUCAGUGUUACAGAAGAAAAAGUUGAAUUUGUGAUGAGGUGAACAUAGUGGAUGCUCUAGAGUUUGCAUGAACAAUAUGGGACUGAAUUGAAGUUCAUGUCUGAUGCUGUAGUUCUAAUUAAACAGAGGGGGAAAAGUCCCAUUGGAUUUGCUUUCAUUUUAAGGUUAGCUCCUUCCUUUUUAAUGUAGGUCAGAGAAAGGCUUGUAGUAAUUCAUAGGACUCAGUAAUCUUAAAUGAUAUUUUUUCUUCUGAAAUGAAUUCUCCUGUAGAAAGUCCUAUGACAUUUACCAGGAAUGAAACCAGGAAGGUUUUCUACAUAAAUUACAUUAGAGAUGUGCAUAUUUUAAAGGAAUGAUCUGUUUUUUAAAGAGUAUUUUUGAACCCUUCUCCAGAAUAAUAUUGCAGGGAUAAAGGUCUUUCUUCAAUGAAGAAGAUAGAUUAGGAUGGCUGUUCUUGUUGUACUAUUUUAAUAAACUCUUUCACUAGGGUUUCCAUCAUAAACUGUUCUACUGGAAGAAAAAAUGUGACAUUUGCUUUCAGGUGAGUCAGAGGUUCUGCAGAUUUGAAUUGAUACAUGAGGUGAAAUGUGUUUUUAUUUUAGUAGCACCAUAGUCAAGAAGGCAAGGGAAGGAAAGGAAGGAGUUGUAACUUUCAGCUGCUUGUGAUGUGCAUGAGUCAUAUCUUGGCGGACCAUGACCUGCUGUGAACCAUGCUGGGCUGUGAGGAAGAUCUCCCAAGCAUUUAGAGAUAAUGGGUGGGUGAAUUGUAGCCUGACAUCCUCUCUCACAAACAGGCACAUAAGAACACAGCAGAAAUCUCUGCUGGCUUUUUGUUAUGUUAUGAGAAAUGCAUGAAUAUACCAAAAUCCAAAUAAAUUAAUAUUUUUAUUCGUAAGAGAGGAACUAUUGCCAGCAUUUCAUUUUUUACCAUGCCCUGUCAACUUGUGAAAACAACUUUGCUGCUUUGUUGUCUGCUGGUGUCAGAGCUGCUGUAGUUUUGCUUCGACAAUGCCCUUCAGAAUGCUGUCAGGUUUUCAGGUUAGCUGAGAGCUUGGAGUGCUGGGCAGAAAAGAGCUUGAAGUGGAAACACUACAGGUGUGUGAUCUGCUCGUACCCUGGGCUUGUGUCCGUGCGGACCUCCAAGGAAUCGUGGACUGUGAGGAGUCCUUUCCUGUGACUGCUCAGCACUCCCAGGAGAGGGACAUCAGCGAAGGGUGUAAGUCUUGGUUUAGGUCUUCUCAGAAAGAAGCAGUGUCUAAGUCCUGCGGCACCUGACCCCUGUCGCAGCCCUCACCCAUGCUUAGGGAAAGGGUAUGCAAUGCAUGUUAUUUAGAAUUUCAUCUUGUCUUCACUCUUUCCUUUGCUCCCUUUGGGAGAAAAAAAUGUCAUUCAGACCUUUUAGGAAAGGGUUCUGGAUCUUUGGUCCAAGGAGAAGUUGAAAUGCUGAAGCUCCAAGUGAACAGCAUUCAACAGAAGUUUGAUCCUCAUUUUCUUAGUGAAGUCCCUUGCCUGGCUCUCUCCUUGCCAUCGCCUGCUCCUCUCUGCCUUGCUUACUUCCCUCUGCCCAGGGAGGCUGGUUCUUAGCACCAGGCUUGGCAUCCUAUCUGCGGCGCAGGCACUUCUAAGGCAGGUUCUGCAGUGCCUUUCUGAUGUUGAAAUAGCUUUACAGCUGUAGUCCUAACGCAACACAAAUAUGAAAUACAUGUUGAUACCUUGUUCAAAGAUGUCAUUGUGAGCAUGACUUCAGCAUAUGUGGCAGCCUGCAGCUGUGGGUCUCCGCUGAAUAGUUUUACUCUGGGGAGCCUUUUCAAAGCAGCUUUCUCCCAAUACUUUCUUGUUACCAAGAGUGAGGCAAUAAAUUGCAGAUAGCAGUUUUCUGAAGCAUGUCUGUUAUUAAAAAGCCAGGCACAUCAGUAAGGAUUGGUUAUGCUGCUGGUAUACCAAUGCAGUGUCUGCAACUUAAUUCUGUCAAAAGCGCCUAAUGUGCCUGGUUGACCUGGUUGGUGUUGUUUCACUGUUAGAGAGUGGGAAGUCAGCAGGUAAGAAUGGUUCCUGGAUAAUAGCUCUCUUAAAUAUCUUUGAAAAGGUUCCAGUCUAAAGAGAAAUUCUCCUGCAUGCUAAGUGGCUGUCAUCUUUGUUCAUAUACACAAUGUCCUCUAACUCCCUAACUGUUACAGGUGACAUGUGGGAUGUAGCUUUUUGUUCCCCAUACAAAGCUCUUUCAGUCCAAGAGAUUUUCUUUGCCUUGAUUUCUUCUUGUAUUAGACCCUCUGUAAGCAUCUUUUAUGCAUGAGGUGACCUAACACAGAAAGCACUGAGCAAAUUUGGUUGGAAAUCAAGAUAGAAAAUAGCACAUCCUGUUUGUCUUGAAUAUGUGCAUGCUCUUUGCUGUGAGACCUGAGAUAUAAUCAGUAUGCUAUUUAGUUUUGACUGGCAAAUUGAAAAGCCACAGAAAUUAUAUCAGAAGAUGACUAUUUAAAAAUAAUAGUAAUUAAAAAAAAUAAUCCUGCAAACAUACCAAACCAGUAAAUUAAAUACUUUCAGAUGAGUUUCACUGCUGUAUUUCUUCUCUUUAGGUUUUGAGUAUGCUCAGUGCAAAACUCUUCAUCUCUCUAUAUGUGUGAAUAAUAAUUUUGCAGCUGUUUGUCAAGUAGCACUGUAUUAGCCUUUAACAAAAUAUUGAUAUUCUGCUUUGAACAUUUCACCCUAAUACGAAAUCCUGACCUUGUGAAAUAGUAUUUUGUAACCUUGGAGGGGUUACUUUUGGUGUUUAUCUUCUUCACAGGCUUGCAGUUGCAGCUAAUCUAAUACUGAUUUAUUUCCCAGAAGUUUAUUGUUUGCAAUUGGAGGUAUGGUUCAGGCUGGCUGCUAUCUUAACCCUUCCCUGCAAAGGACUUGCACUGCAUGGGCAGCUCACUGAAGGAUUGAGGGCCGGAGGGCUGCAGGUGCCCCAGGAGCAGGGUCCCUGGUGAGGUGUGAGUGGUUCUUAAAUACACACUCCUAGCUGGAUUUCAUAAGGACCCCAAACAUAAAAGUCAUUAUAAAGUACCCCUAGUCAUAGAAUCAUACAAUCAUUAAGGUUGGAAAAGACCUCCAAAAUCAUCAAGUCCAACCAUCACCACUAUGCUCACUCCUAGAAUCAUAGGAUCAUAGAAUUAGUCAGCACUGGAACACCCAUCGCAGUGGGACAAGCCCUGAAUUCUAUUGAACUUGGACUUCUCUUGCCCAGGAAAGAUUAGGUGGCUUGGUGGUAAGCUAGAGACAAGGGAAAGCUGCCUGAUGUCUUUCUCUCCAUUUGCAGCGCUUGCUUUUCAGUCCCAGUAUCUCUUGAGUGUGUCAUGUAGCCUUUCUGACUUGAAACAAGGCAUUUUAUUUCUCAUCCUAAUUACUUUCUUAAAAUGCAUCAUCCAUCGGAGUGCUUUAGCAUGUGAAUAGCCUCAGUGAUUGUAGAUUGAAUGAGAACAGAGUUUACAAUAAGACAUGGGUUGAGAAAAUAGACUUACUGACAAUGUAAAUAUUAUACUCAGAUACAAAUGUGAAUCUUCUUGAAAUUAUGCAUUGAUUUAGAACAAAUGAAAUGGUGUUUAUCUCUUUCCUCUCUUUUAGCACUGUGUAUCCUACAAUAUAGGAGUGCUGAUUGCUUCCUUUAUGAGGUCCUCUCCUCAAUGCCUACAUCUUUUCAUCCCCUGGGCUGCAGGCAGGAGAAGUAGAUCCCUUGGGCUGACCUGAAUGCUGUCGUUCAUGAUGAAGAGCAUAUUAAUUUGAAGCAACUGUAAAGCAACUUGUGGACAAAUCCAUGCUGGAGUGAAGUGUGGUCCAGUUCACUGGAACCAGCUGUUAAAAUAACAGUCUGUUCCUGAGUUAGUUGCUGAAAAAUACUGCCUGUAGCAAGUGCUGCUUGCUGCUGCUGCUGCAGCUUUCAGGAGCUGUGUUUGGCGUUUGUUGAUGGACUGUUUGAGUCUUGUGGAUUUUGUGCCUUGUUUUUCUAGCUUGCAUCCCAGAGGCCUUGAGUACAGAGGGUCCCGGUGGUUUCCCCAGUCUUGGGAUGAUUCUUGUUGUCGUGUACUGAAAUUAUUUGGGAAUUUACCAGAGAAAGGAGUGAGGACUUAUUCCUUUGUGUCUGUCCCUGGUUUUUCAGAAGGAGGCACAAGAGCUGCACUUCAGAAGUAACAGCCAUAAAACUGGGGAUAUAUACCUACAAACAUAGAAGUAAUGUGGCCUGUAGUUUGAAUCAUUCAAAAGUACUCCAACCUUUGAGCAAAGGUUUUGUCCACUUCAGACUAUCUGGCAUUUCAUACCUGAACAUAUAUGUGGGCAGUCAACCAAGAAGGCUACUCUUUCAUAGAAUCAUAGAACUGUCGAGGUUGGAAAAGACCUUCAAGAUCAUUUAGUCCAACCCAUCCCCACCGUGCCCACUAACUAUGGCUCUCAGUGCCACAUCUCCGUGGUUUUUGAACACCUGCGGGGCAGUAACUCCCCCACCUCCCUGGGCAGCCUGUGCCAGUGUCCAGCCGCUCUUUCUGAGGAGAAAUUUCUCCUAAUAUCCAACCGUAACCUACUCUGACACAACUUGAGGCCAUUCCCACUAGUUCUAUUGCUGUUACCUGGGGGAAAAAGCCAACCUCCAUCUCACCACAACCUCAUUUCAGGCAGAUGUAGAGAGCGAUGAGGCCUCCUCUUCUCUAAAGACGCUCUAAAUGUGCAGCAGCAGACCUGUCUCCUGAUUCAACACACAGCCAAUUUCUUCUCUAGUUGUUUGUGCAGCCGUUCAGCCCUCUGCCAUUUUAAGAUUUAUUUUUACGUGAAAAGUAAAAAAAAAAAAAAAAAAGUUUAUUUUCCUCUGUCCAGCAGAAACAUGUGAGUUGGUCUCUCAACAUGGAGUGGUCUCUUUUCCAUGAAAUCUCACAUGUCAACCACUUGGCUACUGUGGGUGCAUAGGUAGUGAGUUUAUAAGGCCGGUGCAGUUUUAUCAGAAUGGAGGAGCUGAGACUUAAGUGUGAGAGUUUUGAAAGAGUGCAGUAAGCCUCAGUGAGAAAAUUUCUUUCCGGAGCUCCUUUCUUGGUUAUUUUUGUGGAUUUUCUUUUUCUGCUUCAAGGAUAUUCCUUACAAGCCAAUGCUUUGAUAAGCAAAGCAAACCUUCUGAUGAAACAUAAAGACUGACUUUUCAAACCAUAGUUGUAAAACUGCAGAAAUUAUUUUUCUGCCCCUCUGUAUAGGUCCUUCUCUCACCUUUUGUCUGAAAUCGAUGUGAUAUUUUGGUUAGUUGUGUCAAAAACUGGAACAGCUAUGCCAGGUUUUUGCCUUGUGCUAAUAAACUUGAUCUGGACAAGGUUACAGGUAACAGACAUGGAUUUUUGCAAACAGAAGUCAGAGAAAGCAUGUCCGCUGUUACCAGAGUUGUGGCUAACAAAAAUGUGGGUAACAAAACAAAAUGACCCAAACAUCCCCCUUCCAAAUGGAAUAGCCCAUAGUGCUGGAACUCGAGUGAGUCAGUAAAGCUACCAAAACCAGGGUCACAAACCCUUGCCCUAAGCAGAAAUGGUCUCUGCUUGGGCUUCGUUGUUUAAAUGUGACAAGUACAAGCUGUACCCAUAACUGCUUCAGUCUGUGGAAGAAAUGCUGUUUCAAGCAUGAAUCCCUUUUUGGACCCUCUAUACCUUGAGAGACAAGGAUUAAAGAUACCAUAUUUCUGUGGAAACGUUUUGGACAAAAGUCACUGCACUUUGCUGUGUGCUCACGUUCUGUUCUAAAUCCAGGACUGGCAAGGAGUUCCUGUGGGUGGUGGGUCAUGGCAAAGCUGUGGGAUGGAACGUGGAGAUCUCCAUAAGCAUGGGGAGCCAAGGGAGGGCUUGUUUGAUCCUUUGUUGGAAAGCAAGAUCUGUUCUUCAUCUUCCGAGUUUUUUGUAUUGGCUGAUCCAUACCAAUAGAUCUAUAAUGUGCAGUACGUCAUUAAUAAUUAAAUAAGCUAUCCAUCAUAUUGACCAUUUUGACUAGAUAAGCCAUUCACAGAGCUCAGCAGCAUGUUGAGAUGUUUGGCAGCAUGAGAGUUAUGGGUCAGGUACAGAAACUGUUCUGAGGUCAUGUUGUAAUUGUGCAUAUUUUCAGGCUUUUACUGCUUUGUAGGGAAGUGAACCCCACAAAAUAGUCCUGCACUUUAAUGGAAAGGACAAAUCCUGGAAUCCUUUUCCUCCUAAAAUCCUGACUGAACCCAGUAAGGCCAGUCCAGUAACCAUUAGUCAGUGCAAGUACAGCCAGUCCUGUAGCUGUUAUUCACUCUCUGAGGCUGAAUCCAGUCCUGUCUCAGUUAUUUUCAUUCAGCGAAUGUCCAUCCACUUCUUUAUUUCUCCCAGAGGAAAUCUGGCAGCUCAUCUGCCUCCAGAGGCUGUGAAAUAUUGUCAGGUUUCAGAACUGAAUGUGUCAGCCUGUCUGAGGAACCGUCAGUCCCAGGGGCAGCAGUGACUGUGGCACUGGCUCAGAAACCAGCCAGCUCUGCGUGAAGGAACCAGUGCCCUGAAACAAGAGCUGCAACAAGAUGAUUCCCAAAGAGCCACCCAUGAACAUGCAUUAAAAGGGAGGCUUCAUCCUUGAGCACACCCAGAAAUACAAGAUCUCCAGCCCUGUGCAGCUGCCAGUGUUAUCUCCUGCUGGGAAACCUGUGCUGGUGGGCAGUCAUCCGGCUCUGGACUUGAGCAGUGAACCGCUUGCAGGUGCUGUUGCCCCGCUCCUGGAGGAGCACCGUCACCCAUUUCUCAUCAUUGGAGUUUGGCAGUGUUUGGGUUUGGACUUGAUGAUCAAAAAGGCAAUUGUCUUUUUCAGUGGAAAUAAUGAAGCGUGGUCGGAAUGUGCCAUGAUUUUAACCCUUACCUUUGGCCAGCUGCUGGUGCUUUGGUGUUUUGUUUCGGUGGUGUUUCAGUAAUAAUUCUGGCACGAAAUUAUUUUGUUAUGCAGCCUCUGUCUUAUCUGUUGGCUUUUGAAAGCUGUCAGAGUAGCAUCACUCACACGCUCUCUCCCUUCCUUGCCUUGCCCUGUGCUUGUUACCUUUAAAAGAAGAGUUCCAGUGUCUCCAUUAGUGGGAGGAUUUUUGCCAGAAAUGAUUUUAAGUGCUGUGGAAUGAACAGUUCAUUAAGCUGAAAAAUAAAUUUAAUGUGUUCAAGAGCCUGGGGCUAUUGUUACAAUCACGCUUGCAAAUAGUCCCCACCACAUUUCUUAUUUAGGAGGAUCGGGGUUUAAGAGUACUUCUUGGAACAUCUUAGAGUGUUUUUUAUCAUUGUUUGGUGGUGCUUUCUUCCAGCAAACAAACUUUCAGGUUUAUUCACCUGCACUUAUUGAGGAUGGGAAGAGUCAAAAACCUGUUGACAUAGGCCUUAAUAUAUAAAUGUAUUUUCAUGAGACCAAGACUAGAAAUACUAAAAUACCAUAACGCAGAUUGUGUGCAUUUCUGGGUCACAGAGAAGCAGGAAGGGGAAAUCUUUCAACAGAUUGUUUUUGUGAGACUGAUAGCCAAAUGCGACAGAUUUUAGAUCUGCUUUAAAUAAAACAUUCUUUAAUUGAGGGCAUGUUUUUAUUUUCCUCUUCUUUUUUUUUCCUAGGGCGGAAUGUGAGGGUUUGGACUGAAUAGUUUGAACUUAAUCUCCAGAGGACCCUUUCAACCCCUUCAGUCCUGUGAUUCUGAAAUUCGGUUUGUAGAACUCCAUCUGAAAUUCCAUGAUAUAUACGGGAUUUUAAAAAAGAUUACCUGCAACUUGUAUUUUUCACCAAAGAGGAAAGCAUUGCAGUAGGGGAAAGGUAAUAUGUUGCUGAGGAUAUUUUUCUUUCACUGUUACCACGAGGAAAAAGAAGUGAAAAGGGCUUUGAGAUGUAUCUUCAAAGAGGGUAACUUGGCAUUGUGGUUCAUGAUCACAUUUUCAGAGUACCUGAACCUCAAUCCUGAUGAGGCAUGUGUUAUAUCAUUCAUCUUUCACUUUAGGGGAAAACUUGCUAGAACUUAAUGCACUGAGAUGAGAAUAAUCAUAGAUUCAUAAUCAACAGAUGACGAAAGGGUGCUGAAGUGUUCUAGUUUCUCCUAUUAAUCGAUAGAGGGAGAUGGUUUCACUAUUGAAGAAAUAAUAUUUUACUUGAAGAUUUUCCAUGAAAACUCUGUAUUUACAUAUCAAGUUCCUUAAAUCGCAGGCUGCUUUGUGUGCAUCAGGAAAAUAGGAGACUUCUUCUAACCUUUUUUUACUUUAUUUAUUUUACUGCACUCACUAACCUACAGAUCUGCAACAGUUUUUCUGGCUUGCUCAUUUGAACUUCUGACCGUAAAACACUAAAUGAAGGCUGUCAUUCGUCUUCAGUGUUUUACCAAGACACAGAGUGUUACCUCUGUGAGUGUGCAGGAGCUUUUAAUCUCUGCAGUCAUAACUACAUUUCAUUUUUGCUUUUUGCAAUGAGAAAAAUGUUCCCUCUGUGGAAGUCAUGACUAUUUUUUUUCCUCUGUUUACAGAUGAUCGCUGUCCAUAUUUGCUGUUUCUACGUGCAUUUAUUUCUAUAUUUUCUUAGUGAAGUUGGCAGCCUCUGUUAUGAGUGGAGAGCAAGGAAAAAACUGUAUUGCAGUCACAGUGCACUUGCAGACAGCUCUUCUAAUGCCAGGGCUCUGUGUUUUGGGGUCUUCCUCAGACAACUGUUUGCACUACGAGCAAAGCUGCUUCCAAAAAAAUACCUUUAAGUGUGGUGUAGGUCAAAAUCCUUGCACAAAAUCUUUGAGCAGGGAGGAACGUAUGUUGAUGGCGUAUCUUCUGCAGCCCAAUGGAAAAAAAAAACUGGGGGGAGGAUGUCUGUGACUAUGAAUUGAGAAGUGACAUGUAUUUAUUGUGAAGCAAUACUCCUGGUCUCCAUCAAACUGGAAGUAAAAAUAUCAAUCAUAGAACCUGCUAACUUCUUGUCCGCUCACUCUGAGGGAAGCUUUACUACUGAUCACUAUCCAUCAUUAUUCAUCCUGUCUAUCUACUACUUCGUAUGUACCUCUACCUCCAAUCUGUGAUCAUUAUCUGGAUAAGAAGCUGAAGUCUCGUUUGAAAAUGAUGUUAGUUAGGAGUAGUUGGACAAAUACAAACAUGGAAAAGUAUAAGCAGUUUUGUAUUUUCCCUUCUCGUUAUGUGAGGUGUGUGAUGGAAGGAAUUGUUUCAAUUGACAUAAAUUCCAUUUUAGGUAAAUCUGGAUGCCUAAAGUAGUUUUAAAAUGUGUUUUUCAUGUCAUCCAGCACAUGAAUGAACACUGUGAAGAACAAUAAAUAAGCUUAAUCAUCAGUGAAAAGUCGUUGUGAUGACUUUCAGUGCAAAUGGUUAUUUAAAUGUUGUAUGAAACCACAUUUAAGUCCCAGUAAAGAUAAACAGUAUUUGUAAAUAACCAGUAUAAAUCAUCCUGGGCAACAGAAAUGGCCUGCGGUCUCCAUGGUAUCUUAAAAAUGGGACUGCCUUACAUAGCACUUCAUCUUCUCACUGUGGCAAAAUGUUAGUAAUUGUAAAGGAAUUUAAGGAGGUGGGGGGCAGUCGUCAGUAAGUAAGCUUCAUGAAGUCUGAUUGCUGUUUUGAAAUACAGAUAAACAUCUUCAAUUUCCUGACAGCCCAAGGGAAAUUUGGUAUUCAUCGCCAUACAGAGUAAUGAAGUACCUUUUUGUGCUGGAUUUCUUACUUGAGGAGACGUUCCAUUUGUAGUAAUGACAUGGGAAAGGAAACCAGUCCCAGGUGGAGGCACUGAGUGAGCAGAGGUAGGCCAACUCUGCUUGGGAGCAUUUGUCAGAUUAUUAGAAAUCAUGUUGAAAAUUCAUGUAUUACUUUAAUUCCUUUAUUUCUUCUAGUAUAGGCAACUGUCCAAUAAAACAAAACAGACUGAAUCAAUUGAAAAAAAAAAUACACUCUGAACAGGAGGCUUCCUGCUUUAUUUAGAUUCCUUAAAUGCUUGAUUAACAAGUAUUACUAUUAUCUCUUGUCACUUCAAAGCAUUUAAAUCUUUUACUGCUUUCUUGUUUUCCAAAUGACUUUAGGAAAGGAGGAAUAUGUUUGGCAGGAGUGGGAUGCUCAGAGCUGAAAGAUGAGUGUUUAUCUGUAACUCUGCCCAUGUGUUUGCUGUGCAAGAUCUGUUUGUUGAUCUUCUGCUGCUGCUUUUUCCCAGCUGUGGAAUGGAUAUAUUCAUCUGCAGCAGUCUUGAUUUUUCUUGAUUUUCAGUGAUAGCCUUGAGCAGGCGGUUCUCCAGAGGUGCCAGUGAAUUGAGAAAUGCUGUGGUGAUAAUUUUAAAUGGCUGUAAAUGGAGCAUUGUGUGGGGCAGCUCAGGGAGGAAGGGAGAAAACCUGAUAAUCAGUGCUGGGCUGGCAGCUGUCCCUGUCAGAAUGAGAUGGCUGCUGGCCCCAGGAAAGAUCUCAGGGCCUCAUGCAGAGGAGGAGAACCCUCUGGGAUGGGGGCCUUGGCCUUGUCCUCACCUGCAGCGUGCUUCCCAGGCCCUGCAGGCCAGGAACUGCACCUCACUAAGGAAGAUGCUCCUCUCUCCUUUUCAUGAAGACCAUUGCUGUUGCACUGCUUGCUGCUGACAUCGCUGGGAUGGGGCAGCUGUGCCUGGCUGUCCAAGUUUGUGCACUUGGGACCAGUGCACCUGGCUGCCAGCCCUUUCGUCUCUUCCCCAGUGCAGAAAUUGUCUUCAUCGCUCUUCCCUGGGCCCAUUUCAUGGUUCCCUUGGGUGACAAAGCAAGUCUGCAAAUCUGCAGCUGGUCAAAGAAAGUUACCACAAAUGCUUCUUUUCCUUCAUGGUGUAAGGCCCAUGCCCACGUGGCCACUGGGCCUCAGCGCACUUCAGUCACUCAAACUCUUGCCAUCAAGUAAUUUUACAGCAAAGAUUGAGCACUUUCUUUCUUGGGAAAGUUUGAGAUUGCUUUUUUUUAAUUUCCCCUCCAAACUUCCACCCAAUUAAAGAAUUUACUAGACUCUAAAGAAUAGGCUGCCUGCUGUAAUUAAUACACCUGUAGCGAUGCCAGCACAACCUUUCUUUUCCAGGAUCACUACAAGCUGCUGCUCUGAUGGAUGUUAGCAGUCCCCAGGACUCUGGGAUAGAUUAUAUAGAAUCAUCCCAUUAAGGUUACUGCAGCUCACUAUACCAUUUUGGAACAGUAACUAUAAAAUCAUUAUGGAGAAAAUGUUCAAAUAAAUCCGUGUUUGGAAGAAUGAUAAAUGGAAGUUCACCAAAACAAACAAAAAUAGGCUUUAAAUACACUAAACAUAGAGUGAUUCCUGUAGAAAUAGGGGACGUGAGCUAACUUUAAAUGGGAAAUUACUCUGGAAGGCAACAGGCUGGGGAGUAGCAGUACACAAGAAAUAGAACAUAUGUUCUCUGUGUUAUUUCAUAUCCAGACAAGGCCAUAUGCUCCAGAAGGGAUGAGUAAGGUAAAGGAGCAGGAAAUAGGAGCACGGAGGUUAUUCUUCUCUUCACAGUGUGAGUGAGGAUAAUAAUACUUUAAAUGGCACUGAGUUUUCAGUUGCUGCUUUUGAUAUCAGGACAGGCAAUUGCUGAUCUAAAAACAAGAAAGUCUGACACUUUUUUGAAGGCAGUUGAAAAUAAGUUGUAAUGAGAAAGUACUUCAAAAGCAAAGAAGUGAGGAAAAAGGAAGUAAGAAGCGACAGAAGCUACCUGGAGGAAAAAACACCCCAAACCUGCCAGCUACCAAAGUGCUUCUCAGUCUGGUGGUACUCAGCACCUGGAAGCUGGAGCCUGACAAACUGGUAUUGAAAUUGGCCAUUUUUUAAUUUUUUUUCGAUGUACCUCUACAUAGCAAUAUUGGUAGUCAGCUGCUGGGUCUAACUUCUCUGGGAGCUGUAGCUCUUUGUAGUUCUUUGCCAUGGUCUUGUUUUAAAUCAAGACUGACUGCAACUCUGGAAGAUAUGCUUUAGCAAAAGCACAUAUCUGGGUUCAAUACAAGAGCAACUGUGAGAAAGCCUCUGGUCUUAUGAGAGCUCAGAGUAAAUAAGCUAGUGGCCUCUUCUCUAUUUAUCUGUACUUUCAGGGCCUGCAUGACCAUUUCUCAAGUAAACCACUCAUGGCUCAGGUCCAUUAACUAGGAUAUGGGCUGAUUACAGGAAUCCAUCACAUCUAAAAUUGUUUUGCUACCUUUUUUCUUAAAGUAUGUGAUGGAUGCAAUAAAAUGAACUGUAUGUAUAUAUUUCUCAAUUUCCCUAUUUUUUUUGACUGGGUGGCCUGUUAAUGGCCUACCCUAUUCACUACAGUGCUUAAUAAUUUCACAGUGAAUGCUGCUUGAGUUUCUGUGCAGCUUACACACGUGUGUGUACACUUAAAUAUAUGAACAUUGAUAGACUGCAGGUGGAAGAGCAAGUAUUAAACUUCACUUUUAAUAUGACUGCAAAGCUGAGCUCUAGGUUAUAUUAAUGAAAAAUACUUUGUACAGGUUGCAAGGGGUGCCAUAUCUCUCAAUAGAGAAGUACCACUUCUGUAUUCCUGCUGUACUCUCCUUUGCUCAUGAAGGCAUUUUCGUCCUUUGGACAAGAGCUGUCAGUCAUUGAAUCUUCAAUACCAGCCUGUGAGGGGAAGCACGUGGGGCUUCUCAUAAAGUCAUUUCAUUUCUUUCCUUUUAGUUGAUUUUAAUGAAAUCCUGUCACUGUUGUCCUUUCAAUUUUGAGUUUGAGUUAAUCUCAAAGCAAAUUAAACCAACAAGUUUAAACAGAGAUAGUAUUUUAAAAUAUUUUUUUACACUGAGCAAUGCUUUUGAGUUCUUUCACACCUUUGUGGACUGCUCAGUGGCUAUAAGCCAUGUGCUCAAGGCUAGAUCCUUGGCUGGUGUAAAUAGCUUUUGUGGUUACUACAUCGUUGGCCUGAAUGAAACCACCAUGCUUUGUAACAGCUGAGGAGAAUCCGCCCAGUCUUUCUAAAUCUUAGUUUGAAAGACUCUGUACAAUUCUCAGUCAAAAAAUAAAAAUGCUCAAUUGCAUCUCUACCUGCAUAAUGUAGCUCUUCUGAAGUGCUGUCAUGAACUACAUUACCAUACGCUUAAAGCAAAUAACCCACUGAUCCAUCUGAUUGGUAGUAACCAGAGUUGCCCGUAAUAUGUAGGGCAAGAGCCAUACUUUGACCGUGUCAUUCCAAAAUGCUUUUCUUGCUGAACUGUAAUGAAUUUGAGUCCUUAGCCACUGUGGAUGAGUUCCUGACACCCUGGAGAUGCAUUGCAAGAAGAAGCUAUGCAUAACUUAUGCUUUAUUAGUUCUAUUCUGCUGGCAUUGUAUUGCCUGUUUGGUCAUAGUGUGCUGAAGUAUGCAAAAAAGAAGGGGCAUGAAAAUGACAUUAAUUAGAAAUGUGUUGGCUGACUUCAUAAAGUUUCAGUUCCAGCGCACUGGAAUGUUUUCAGGUCUGUGCAUAUAGCUGAUAGGUUGGCACACGUUCUCCUAUUUUCUACCCCCAAAAAAGCUUUUCUGAUGCUUGUGUUUUCCAUGGAAAGUAUUUCUAGAGUGAAUAAUUACUAUAAAUUUAGAUAACAAACUACAGUGUUUUCCUCAGUAGAAACUAAGUGAAUAUUUAUGGAAAACCUCCUAUAUCCAUCAGCUAGCUAUCUGUGAACAGCUUGCAAAUAGAGAACAGAAACUAAUGCAGCUCCAACAUUAUAUUAGGUAAUUUGCAUGGUGGCGAAACUUAUUUUGCUGCAGGACUUAAUUUUCAUUGUAUGCAUCACUAACGAUGAGCCCCAAAUUACUCUUUUCUGAGCAAGUCCUUGGGGAUUAAACCUACCACAUUCCUCUGCCAAAAGAGAAAUAACUUCAGCCAUCUGACAAAGUCAGUGUACAUUCAUUAUAGCAGGAUUUUUUCUGCAUUCAUCUGGGCUCAGGAAAAUAAUUACCAUGGCUUCUGGUUAUGGCUUAAGGAAAGUUCUUUUUUCUUCUCCUUUGCCUAGUGACGAAAUUUAAACUUGACUGUCCAGCUAUGACUGUAUAGUAGAGACUCAUUGCUAUAAGAAGGUGUUGUGUUGUGUUCUUUUUUCACUUAACUUGUCACAUGUAUGUGUAUUGCAGCUAACCUGAGUUUUGUAUGCAAUAUUAUUUGAGAUUUGUAGGAAACUUUUACUUCAGUAUCCUGCUUCCCAAGAAGUUAUGCCAGUGUCUGGGUCAUCCAUUGAUUAUAAAUGCUAUAAAUAUAUAAAUGAUAUAUUAUAUACGACAAUAUUCAAUCAAAGGAGGGCAACGAAGCUGUGAAGGGUCUGGAGCACAAAUGUUAUGGGAAGCAGCUGAAGGAACUGGUGUCUGGAGAAGAGGACGGUCAGGGCAGGCCUUAUCGUUCUCUAGAAUUGCCUGAAAGGAGGUUGUGGUGAGGUGGAGGUUGACCUCUUCUCCCAGAUAACACCGAUAGGAUGAAAGGAAAUGGCCUCAGGUUGUGGCAGGGGAGGUUCAGGUUGGGUAUUAGGAAACAUUUCUUCUCAGAACAGUGAUGCACUGGAUCAGGCUGCCCAGGGAGGUGGUAGAGUCAACAUCCCUGAAGGUGUUCGGGAAAUGUGGAGAUGUGGAACUGAGGGCUGUGGUCCGUGAGCACUGUGGGAGAGGAUUGUGUUUGGACUAGAUGAUCUUAUAGGUCUUUUCCAACUUGAAUGAUUCUAUGAUCACUUGUCAGAGCUGUGGACAAUACUGUUUUUUUUUAUUGGCUCAUAAAAAAUAACUAGAUCCUUUUCUACUAAUUUGAACUGUGAGAAAAGAUGCGAACUUUCCAUAAAUGAGCCCACUCAGUUUGUCCAGUGGUGUUUCUGCUUGCUUUAUUUUGUUUUCCUAGUCUUUCCUUUUGGUGGACAUGGGCACAGGAGACUGCAGCACUGCUAUGCCCUCAAGGAAAGCACUCUGCUCUCCUGAAGCUGACACCGAAUUUGCAGAAGAACUGAGGAUUUGCUGGAGCAGCAGAUGGAGCCAUCGCCUGACCAGAGCCCAGCAGGUGCAGUAGUUAUCCAGCAGAUAAGGAGAUGUCCAUCUCAUAUCUGUGCUGUUGAAAGCUUUCUUUUUAUUAAGCAUUCAGCAGAGCAGCACGGAAAGCUGUAUUUCCCUGGCGAAUAAUGAGAUACCCAAAGCAGUGGUCUGUGAAGCCUUUUUCUCCUUUUCUUGGCUCAAUGAAUAUUUGAUUCCUGUGAAGCAGUUUAGCUUCAGUAGAAAAGAUUGAUACCACUGCCUUUCCCACCUCAGGACAGCCUGUACCUGGAGCUUUAAACACUUCCCGUGACAGCUGGCAGCUUAAAUAAAAUGAAGAGUGGGAAUGAGUUCCUCCACCCCAUCUACUGCCACUGGUUUUGUGCUUGCAGUGAAAGGCUGAGAUGAGAAGGCAGAGCUGUGCCGUUGUCCCCUUCCACUGGCACCUCACCCACCCAGGAUGCAAGAGAACCCACCUUGAAGUGAGCAGCAGGUAGAAUGGAGAGGAACCUCUCUAUGGAUGCAGUUUGUGUUGUCUGAACCUUAUUUUUCUGCAGGGGGUGCUGCCUCGUCUGCUCUAGACAGACGAGAAAAAAGGGAAUGAUUGUCAAGAAUGGCUUUUAUGUCACACACAGCAAGCUGGACCUAGGUGAUAACCUAAUGUUAAAUGUGUUCCAAAGCCAUCUGCAAAUACCUUGCAAUGAAAGCAGCGUGUGCCAAUGGCACAGGAAUGUUCUUUGCUUGGACAACUCAUGAGCAAAUCCUUCAUUAGGUGGCAGUACAGGUUCAAAUAGGAAGAUCCAGAAAGGAGGAGUUCACAGAACUGUAGGGGUUGGAAGGGCCCUCUGGAAAUCAUCCUCCUGCUUUCUGAGUCUUCCUUUUUGUACCUGCAUUUCUGACUCGAUGAACGAUAUGCAGCUGUGCCCACCAGGAACUCCCCUCGGUUUCUGCUUUGCUCCCCCAGUGGUUGUGCUCCUGAUAUCACGUCAUCUGCCCCAUCUUGGCACAACCCAUCAGAAUCCAUGGGAAUAGAAUUUACUCUGCAAUUAUCUUGUCAUGGUUUUGUGAUUUUUGUUUUCAGUAUUCCACAUCAUAACAUCAUGUAAAGCACUGUCAGUUAAAGAGUUAAUUUCCUGGUUAAUGCAAACUGCCUUUUUUGGUGUGUGGUCCUCUGAGGGAGAGGGGAGGAGGUGCACUCCCCAGGGGUCUUUGCGUUGGAGGGGGAGGUGAAUCUGCCUGGUAGACAUGGGGUCUGUUCCUUCCUGCCCGGCGGAGACAGCACGUGGUCCUCCUGCAGUUUACUGUAUAAGACUCUCAGCGUGUAAACUCUCUAUGUUACGGUUUCACUGGCCUCAAUUUCGAUAUAUUUAGUAAAAUUAGUUGUUCCUCCU